This is a non-coding RNA of Callithrix jacchus (white-tufted-ear marmoset), 1332 nucleotides long. Lineage: Eukaryota; Metazoa; Chordata; Mammalia; Primates; Cebidae. The record is from RefSeq and is a predicted model, not a curated record.
UCCUACCUGCAAACUUUGCCUCCCUGGGUCAAGUGAUUCUCCUACCUCAGCCUCCCAAGUAGCUGGGAUUACAGGUAUGUGCACCACAUGCAGCUAAUUUUUGUAUUUUUUUCAGUAGAGAUGGAUUUUACCAUGUUGGCCAGGCUGAUCUCUUGAACUCCUGAGCUCAGGUGAUCUGCCCACCUCAGCCUGCCAGAGUGCUGGGAUUAUAGGCAUAAGCCACUGCAUCCAGCCUAAUUUUAAAAUUUUUAACUUUUUUUUUUUUUGAGAUAGAGUUUUGCUCUUGUCACCCAGGCUGAAGUGCAAUGGCACUCGGCUCAGUGCAACCUCUGCCUCCCAGAUUCAAGCAAUUCUCCUGCCUCAGUCUCCACAGUAGCUGGAACUACAGAGAUGAGCUCUUGCUCUGUCACCUAGGCUGGAGCGCAGUGGCUCAGUAAUAGUUCACUGCAGCCUUAAACUCCUGGACUCAAAUGAUCUUCCCACCUCAGCUUUCUGAGUAGGGAACAUGACAUCCUCUUCCUAGGUUACACCCACCUGCAGAGGGCCCAGCCCCAUCACUGGAGCCACUGGAUUCUGAGGAUGAGUAUUUUGUGUCAAGUGGAUUCAAGGGACAGUGCGAAGGAUCCAUGGCCUCAGUCAUGAAGACUCUCCCAAGAGCCAACCGUCCUGGGCACAUAUAAAUGAGUGGAGACAUGGAACUCACCCUUACAAGGCCUAGAACUUGACAGAGCAUACAAGACAGAAGCCCAAAUAACCAAGAACAGGAAGCUGAAGCACUUUGGGAGGUCAAAGCAGGUGGACCGCUUGAGUCCAGGAGUUAGAGACCAGCCUGGACAACAUGUUGAAACCCCAUCUCUACAAAAAAAAUACAAAUUAGGCACAGUGGUGGAUAGUUCCAGUUACUCAGGAGGCUGAAGUAAGAAGAUGGCUUUAGUGUGGGACGUGAAGAUUGCAGAAAGCUGACAUCACAACACUGCACUUCAGUCUUGGCAACAGAGUGAGACUCUAUCUGAAAAAAAUUGUAUACUUUAUUGAAUCAUUUAUAUAUGAUUGUUAUUUUUGAUUACAUAUUGUUUAGUUCACUACUUUAAAGCCUGCUUUAUUAUUUCUUAAUUUUAUUGACUCAUUUGUGCCUUAGUCUGUUUCAUUACAAAUUAUUGUUUAGUCACUACCUUGGAGCCUGUUUUCUUUUUUAAAAAAUUUUAUUACACUUUAAGUUAUGGGGUACGUGUGCAAAUGUUGCAGGAUUGUUGCAUAGGUACACACAUGCCAUGGUGGUUUGAUGCCUCCAUGUCCCCAUUACCUACAUCAGGAAUUUCUCUUAAUGUUAUA